GUGGGGAAUCUUCCGCAAUGGGCGAAAGCCUGACGGAGCAACGCCGCGUGAGUGAAGACGGCCUUCGGGUUGUAAAGCUCUGUUAUAUGGGACGAACGGGUGUAUGGUCAAUACCCAUACGCCGUGACGGUACCGUAAGAGAAAGCCACGGCUAACUACGUGCCAGCAGCCGCGGUAAUACGUAGGUGGCAAGCGUUGUCCGGAAUCAUUGGGCGUAAAGGGCGCGCAGGCGGUUCGGUAAGUCGGUCUUAAAAGUGCGGGGCUUAACCCCGUGGUGGGAUUGAAACUGCCGGACUGGAGUGUCGGAGAGGAAAGCAGAAUUCCUAGUGUAGCGGUGAAAUGCGUAGAUAUUAGGAGGAAUACCAGUGGCGAAAGCGGCUUUCUGGACGACAACUGACGCUGAGGCGCGAAAGCCAGGGGAGCAAACGGGAUUAGAAACCCCAGUAGUCC
Molecule: ribosomal RNA, 450 nt
Filed under: uncultured bacterium
Lineage: Bacteria
Description: partial 16S ribosomal RNA
Rfam family: Bacterial small subunit ribosomal RNA
Source: RNAcentral